GAUGAACGCUGGCGGCGUGCCUAAUACAUGCAAGUCGAGCGAACAGACGAGGAGCUUGCUCCUCUGACGUUAGCGGCGGACGGGUGAGUAACACGUGGAUAACCUACCUAUAAGACUGGGAUAACUUCGGGAAACCGGAGCUAAUACCGGAUAAUAUAUUGAACCGCAUGGUUCAAUAGUGAAAGACGGUUUUGCUGUCACUUAUAGAUGGAUCCGCGCCGCAUUAGCUAGUUGGUAAGGUAACGGCUUACCAAGGCGACGAUGCGUAGCCGACCUGAGAGGGUGAUCGGCCACACUGGAACUGAGACACGGUCCAGACUCCUACGGGAGGCAGCAGUAGGGAAUCUUCCGCAAAGGGCGAAAGCUUGACGGAGCAACGCCGCGUGAGUGAUGAAGGUCUUCGGAUCGUAAAACUCUGUUAUUAGGGAAGAACAAACGUGUAAGUAACUAUGCACGUCUUGACGGUACCUAAUCAGAAAGCCACGGCUAACUACGUG
This 497-nucleotide ribosomal RNA is filed under the name uncultured bacterium. RNAcentral's name for it is "partial 16S ribosomal RNA". It matches the Rfam family "Bacterial small subunit ribosomal RNA", at positions 28 to 507 of the family's 1533-position model. The record is from RNAcentral.